CUUGAGUUAUAAACAUAAGAGGUCCAGCCUGCCCAGUGAUUAAAUUUAACGGCCGCGGUAUCCUAACCGUGCGAAGGUAGCGUAAUCACUUGUUCUUUAAAUGAGGACUAGUAUGAAUGGCACCACGAAGGUUUUACUGUCUCCUUUUCCUAAUCAGUGAAACUAAUCUUCCCGUGAAGAAGCGGGAAUAAACGAAUAAGACGAGAAGACCCUAUGGAGCUUUAAACACAAUAACAAAUACUACUUUAAACAAAAAUUUCUUAAUGACUUACUUACUGGUAUUAUGAUUAUUAGUUUUAGGUUGGGGUGACCGCGGAGAAAAACACAACCUCCACAUUGAAUGAUAAAAUUCUAAGCAAAGAAUUACAUUUCCACGCAUCAAUACAUUGACAUCAAUUGACCCAAUUAUUUUGAUCAACGAAC
This 423-nucleotide ribosomal RNA is filed under the name Atelopus flavescens group sp. ABGD cluster 1. RNAcentral describes it as "partial large subunit ribosomal RNA". It matches the Rfam family "Bacterial large subunit ribosomal RNA", at positions 1822 to 2457 of the family's 2925-position model. Lineage: Eukaryota; Metazoa; Chordata; Amphibia; Anura; Bufonidae. RNAcentral also lists the same sequence under 1 other name. The record is from RNAcentral.